GACGAACGCUGGCGGCGUGCUUAACACAUGCAAGUCGAACGGAAAGGCCCUGCUUUUGUGGGGUGCUCGAGUGGCGAACGGGUGAGUAACACGUGAGUAACCUGCCCUUGACUUUGGGAUAACUUCAGGAAACUGGGGCUAAUACCGGAUAGGAGCUCCUGCUGCAUGGUGGGGGUUGGAAAGUUUCGGCGGUUGGGGAUGGACUCGCGGCUUAUCAGCUUGUUGGUGGGGUAGUGGCUUACCAAGGCUUUGACGGGUAGCCGGCCUGAGAGGGUGACCGGCCACAUUGGGACUGAGAUACGGCCCAGACUCCUACGGGAGGCAGCAGUGGGGAAUAUUGCACAAUGGGCGGAAGCCUGAUGCAGCAACGCCGCGUGCGGGAUGACGGCCUUCGGGUUGUAAACCGCUUUCGCCUGUGACGAUGCGUGAGUGACGGUAAUGGGUAAAGAAGCACCGGCUAACUACGUG
RNAcentral lists this ribosomal RNA (468 nucleotides) under uncultured bacterium. RNAcentral describes it as "partial 16S ribosomal RNA". It matches the Rfam family "Bacterial small subunit ribosomal RNA", at positions 28 to 507 of the family's 1533-position model. The record is from RNAcentral.